GAGUUUGAUCCUGGCCAGGAUGACCGCUGGCGGCAUGUCUAAGGCAUGCAAGUUGUGCGAACCCAUUUGAGAUUAUAUCAAUGAUGGGUGAGCGGCAGACGGGAGCGUAACACAUUGGUAACCUGCCUCGAAGACGCGAACAACCUUGGGAAACCAGGGCUAAUGCGCGAUACGGAUGUGAGGGCAAAAGUCAUUCACAUUGAAAGCUUCGGCACUUCGAGAGGGGCCUAUGUUCUAUCAGCUUGUUGGCGGGGUAACGGCCCACCAAGGCUAUGACGGAUACCAGGCGUGAGAGCGUGGCCUGGCUCACUGGGACUGAGACACUGCCCAGACACCUACGGGUGGCUGCAGUCGAGAAUAUUCCACAAUGGGCGAAAGCCUGAUGGAGCAAUGCCGCGUGCCGGAUGAAGGCCUUCGGGUCGUAAACGGCUUUUAUAGGGGACGAACAAAUGACGGUACCCUAAGAAUAAGAGGUUGCUAACUCUGUGCCAGCAGCGCGGUAA
RNAcentral lists this ribosomal RNA (503 nucleotides) under uncultured Parcubacteria group bacterium. RNAcentral's name for it is "bacterial SSU rRNA". It matches the Rfam family "Bacterial small subunit ribosomal RNA", at positions 9 to 523 of the family's 1533-position model. The record is from RNAcentral.